UAAGUGCAGAGUGUGAAGGUUCAAUUAGCAGGCCUCAGAUGUCAGCUGAUCACUCUGCUGUUGUUGGGGUCCAGCCGGAACUUGAUUCAGGAAAUACUUCUUGUUUGAAGCUAACAGCUCUGCUCCAGCUCAAUUCAGAGUCAUUCCAUCAGACUUGAACAGCAGGUGGAAAAAGACGUGUGRCUCSAAGUAUAAACCAAGCUUACUYGAUCCAGCAUGUUGAAGAUGAUGAAGCUGUCGGCUGGAGUCAUUAUUUCUCUGCUGACUCUAACAGCYU
Austrofundulus limnaeus is the source of this 277-nucleotide long non-coding RNA. RefSeq lists it as uncharacterized. The record is from RefSeq and is a predicted model, not a curated record. Lineage: Eukaryota; Metazoa; Chordata; Actinopteri; Cyprinodontiformes; Rivulidae. The transcript has 3 exons.